UACGGGAGGCAGCAGUGGGGAAUAUUGCACAAUGGGCGCAAGCCUGAUGCAGCCAUGCCGCGUGUAUGAAAAAGGCCUUCGGGUUGUAAAGUACUUUCAGUCGUGAGGAAGGUGUUAAGGUUAAUAACCUUAGCAAUUGACGUUAGCGACAGAAGAAACACCGGCUAACUCCGUGCCAGCAGCCGCGGUAAUACGGAGGGUGCGAGCGUUAAUCGGAAUUACUGGGCGUAAAGGGCACGCAGGCGGUUAAUUAAGUUGGAUGUGAAAUCCCCGGGCUUAAACCUGGGAAUGGCAUUUCAAGACUGGUUAGCUAGAGUCUUGUAGAGGGGGUAGAAUUCCAUGUGUAGCGGUGAAAUGCGUAGAGAUGUGGAGGAAUACCGGUGGCGAAAGGCGGCCCCUGGACAAAGACUGACGCUCAUGUGCGAAAAGCGUGGGGAGCAAAACAGGGAUUAGAUACC
This 458-nucleotide ribosomal RNA is filed under the name uncultured bacterium. RNAcentral describes it as "bacterial SSU rRNA". It matches the Rfam family "Bacterial small subunit ribosomal RNA", at positions 340 to 786 of the family's 1533-position model. The record is from RNAcentral.